GUUCUAUUCAUGCAGUACAUACACUAAAAUUGGAACGUUACAGAGAAGACUAGCAUGACUCGUGCACAAGGAUGACAUGCAAAUUUGUUUGUGAAGUGUUUCAUAUUUUC
Aplysia californica (California sea hare) is the source of this 110-nucleotide small nuclear RNA. The record is from RefSeq and is a predicted model, not a curated record. Lineage: Eukaryota; Metazoa; Mollusca; Gastropoda; Aplysiida; Aplysiidae.